UUUGUAAGCUCCGGCUAACUCCGUGCCAGCAGCCGCGGUAAUACGGGGGGAGCAAGCGUUGUUCGGAUUUACUGGGCGUAAAGGGCGCGUAGGCGGCCAGCGCAAGUCNGUUGUGAAAUCUCCGGGCUUAACUCGGAAAGGUCAACUGAUACUGCGCGGCUAGAGUGCGGAAGGGGCAACUGGAAUUCUCGGUGUAGCGGUGAAAUGCGUAGAUAUCGAGAGGAACACCUGCGGCGAAGGCGGGUUGCUGGGCCGACACUGACGCUGAGGCGCGAAAGCCAGGGGAGCGAACGGGAUUAGAUACCCCGGUAGUCCUGGCCUUAAACGAUGGAUGCUUGGUGUCUGGGGUUUAUAGUCCCCGGGUGCCGUA
Molecule: ribosomal RNA, 370 nt
Filed under: uncultured bacterium
Lineage: Bacteria
Description: bacterial SSU rRNA
Rfam family: Bacterial small subunit ribosomal RNA
Source: RNAcentral